CAAUGGAAAAUAUUAUUGCAUUCAUAAAUACACUUUGUUUUAACAUAGAUAUAGCAUGUAUUAAAACAUUCUUCCAUGAUGAUUACUUUCAACUUUUACAAAUUAAAACUAUUACAGGAACCUAGAAAAAGGAUUAUUUUCAAGGUCAUGAAAGAGUACUCAAAGGUCCUCCUCCAUCACUUCAAGUGGCAAAGGCCGUGAACUAUUUAACUUGGACAAGAAGUUGUUUGAAGAACACAUAGUAGCAGAUGUAUGAAUGCAAUACACAAAAUAUUUGCCAUAUUCUAUGUGGCUCUUAGUUGGAUUAUGUUAUCUCUUUUGUUUAUAGUACAAACACGGAUAGCAACUGAUAUAUUUAGUUGAUCACGUAGCAUAAGAUAGUGGGUAGAAAACGAUGAAGAAAUAAGGCGUAUACUUGAGUUUGAUUUUGUAAGUAUAUUUAAAGGAAGUGGAAGAAAAGGAAAUAUUUGCUCAAUUU
Molecule: non-coding RNA, 478 nt
Organism: Nicotiana tabacum (common tobacco)
Lineage: Eukaryota; Viridiplantae; Streptophyta; Magnoliopsida; Solanales; Solanaceae
Source: RefSeq, a predicted model, not a curated record